This 392-nucleotide ribosomal RNA is filed under the name uncultured bacterium. RNAcentral describes it as "bacterial SSU rRNA". It matches the Rfam family "Bacterial small subunit ribosomal RNA", at positions 29 to 420 of the family's 1533-position model. The record is from RNAcentral.
AUUAAACGCUGGCGGCAUGCCUUACACAUGCAAGUCGAACGGCAGCGCGGGAGCUUGCUCCUGGUGGCGAGUGGCGGACGGGUGAGUAAUACAUCGGAACGUGCCCUGGAGUGGGGGAUAACGCAGCGAAAGCUACGCUAAUACCGCAUAUUCUGUGAGCAGGAAAGCAGGGGAUCGCAAGACCUUGCGCUCUAGGAGCGGCCGAUGUCGGAUUAGCUAGUUGGUGGGGUAAAGGCCCACCAAGGCGACGAUCCGUAGCGGGUCUGAGAGGAUGAUCCGCCACACUGGGACUGAGACACGGCCCAGACUCCUACGGGAGGCAGCAGUGGGGAAUUUUGGACAAUGGGCGGAAGCCUGAUCCAGCCAUGCCGCGUGAGUGAAGAAGGCCUCGG